Kogia breviceps (pygmy sperm whale) is the source of this 698-nucleotide non-coding RNA. Lineage: Eukaryota; Metazoa; Chordata; Mammalia; Artiodactyla; Physeteridae. The record is from RefSeq and is a predicted model, not a curated record.
AAUCACCAGAGCCCUGGGGCCUGCAGGACAGUCUGCUUUGACUUAAAGGUGAGGGCCAGGUCUGGCUUGUUGAUCCUUGAUUCCUCAAUGCCUGGCAUGAUGCCUUGUGGGCAAGCAGCUCCUGUCCAGCAGCCCCUCUCCCAGGACGCCAGCUUUCACCUGGACGCCACCACCUCUUCCCCUGCCUCUGCAGGUCAGGUGGGCGAGCGGCUUCCCCCUGUGGGCAGCUGCUGUGGGCACCAACGUCUCUUACUACUUCUGGGAAGCUACGCACACCUCUGUAAAUGGUCACUUCACUAAAAAGCCUUUUGAAAACCGCAGCUGAGUGUACUCUCUGUUUCCUGCCUGGACUCUGACAGGUCCUUAAAGAGAAGAAAGUAGGGAAAGAAGCAACAGGAGCCUGGAAGGAUGAGGGGGCUUCUCAGAAGCCCUUAUACAACCCUGGGAGGAACAAGUCUUGUUGUUCCCUGUACUCACCCACUGAGGGGGAAAAGGACUUAGAGAAAGCACUGUGUGAGGCCCACUACACGACGGCCGGCCUGAGUCACCCCAGCUAUCCCGUGGUUAGUGGCUCUCCUCUCUGUGCCCCUCAGUGCUUGGUUCUCUCUAGAUAGGAAUCCUUGAUAAGGUGGGAUUAUAAUUUACUACUUUAUAGGCCUGUCUCCCACACUGGACUGGAAACUUCUCAAAGGCAAAGA